AACGUCACAUGAUCUCAAAUUUGAACAGCGUCACUGAGUCAGUCUGGGCGCCAAAGUAAUUUACUUCACUGCAGCCGGUUUGGGAUUUAACAGCUCUUUGGUUCACUACAUUAUCUUUUAUUUACUUUAAAGGAUUUUCUUUUUAAGAGUAAUCUCGUCGAGUUCUUGUCUGUUUUUGCUGGUGUAAAGUUGUCAGACGGUAUCAUAGAUGGACUAUCUGACAUCCUACAGCUUGCUAACUUCACCAGCUAACAUUUAACUGCAGAGUCCUUUGAAAUAAAGGACGCAAGGAACUCGGAACAUUCAGAAAUGAGCACUGGAAGAUACGGGAGACCACAAAGACGUCUGUUCAACGGAUAUUUUUUGCAGUGUGGACAGUUAACUUCUUGCAGCGUGGUGAGGAGUAACGUUAACGUUAGCCGUCGCCCGAAGCAGCAGCAGCAGGAGGUGGCACCGACAUCAGCAAGUGAUCACUGACGAGCACUCCCACUGAUGCCAGAGUCCAGUCUCUCCAUCAUCCCAGGUCUCACAGUGCAAGGAGAACCUGAACCUGAGAUCCUGUGUGCAACCAAAAGGAUGCUGCUGAUGGAGACCUGACUUCACCACCACUCUGGCUGUCCUCUUCACAUCUUGCUAUAGGUUCACAGUUGAAUGUCAGGAGGACACAAUGACAUCACUGGAGUCUGUUCAAAAGUAGCUGUCAUCCAAUUUGCUGAAGAACACAAAGCAGCAGUGGAGAAUCAAAGUGAAAUCACCCGGCGGCUCCUGACCUGCAUCCAAAGCCUUUUGGGCCAGUGGACUUGUGAUGCAAAGUGGACUGAGGUGGGCUGUUGGACUCUUUACAGACAAGUAAGCAUCCACAAAUACCAUUUUAAAGACUCUAUGGACACCUGAGUACCUGGUGACAUCUCCCACAGUUGAAAAUGCAUGUUUAGAUUACCUAAGAGUGUUUUGUUUCAAGGAAAUAACAGUGUCUAGUGUCAGUGUCUAUAUAUCAAGUUCAGUUAUUUGAUUUUGUUUUUUUUGUUUGUUUUUUUUAACUUGUAGUGGGCUUAUUAAAUGGCAUCUGUAUUAUUUUUUCAGUAGGAUUUGUUUAACUGUGGUUACAGAUUUAAACAAUUUUUAACGUUGUCAUUGUAAUAUUUGCUAAUGUUUGUAAUAUACACAUUUGAAAACUUUGUUAUAGAAUGAUAUUUAGAGGACAGAAAGUUGCAUAUGGCCCCUGCUUUUAUGGCAAACACUGAAAAGUAAACAUUUAUUUUCUUCAUUCUUAUUUUCUAUAUAUUUAUUUACUGUGUUAAGUUGAUGCCCAUGCAGUCCAAAUAUUUCCUGCGUUUGCUACUUCACAUUAAAAGCUUCUCAGUGGUGUACCACUGUGUGGCUUUUAUUAUGAAGCAUGUACAGGAAAUGUAAAACAGACUGCAGUAUUCGUCAGAAGACAUUGGUCUAUGCAAAAUGUUUUGUGCUGUUUGGUCAGCAGAUCAGUUCUAUAUAUUGCAAAGGAGAAUUGGUAAAAGAGGAAACAGCUGAAGUGAGCUGGUAGACGUAGAACUGCAGGCAACAGGCUCUUUUACUACAGUUUAUGUCAUUAAGGGUAAACAACUUCUGUUCUGCUGUCCUGUCUGAGGGAAAACCAUUUGCACUGUGCAUCACAGAUAUAAUUGCAGUGUGGGUAUUUCUGCCAUAUGGAAGAAGGCCAUUAUUCUGAUAUGAUUUCUGUAAACAUGGUGCACAAUCCCUGUGCACAGUGAAAAUAAGUAAUAAGUAAAAUGCAGUAGUUGCUGUUCAACAGAUAAUAAAUAAUUGUCAUUUAAA
Molecule: long non-coding RNA, 1815 nt
Organism: Thunnus maccoyii (southern bluefin tuna)
Lineage: Eukaryota; Metazoa; Chordata; Actinopteri; Scombriformes; Scombridae
Exons: 4
Source: RefSeq, a predicted model, not a curated record